RNAcentral lists this ribosomal RNA (779 nucleotides) under uncultured bacterium. RNAcentral's name for it is "bacterial SSU rRNA". It matches the Rfam family "Bacterial small subunit ribosomal RNA", at positions 696 to 1453 of the family's 1533-position model. The record is from RNAcentral.
AUCGGAAGGAAAAACAAUGGCGAAGGCAGCCACCUGGCUUAAUACUGACGCUGAGGCGCGGAGGAAAGGGGAUCGAGCAGGAUUAGAUACCCUGGUAGUCCACGCUGUGAGCGAUGAGAACUAGAUGUUGAUUGGCUUAUGUCAAGCAGUAUCGAAGCUAACGCGAUAAGUUCUCCGCCUGGGUCUCAAUACAGCCGCAAGGCUGGAGCUCGAGGGAAUUGACGGGGGCCCGCACAAGCGGUGGAGCAUGUGGUUUAAUUCGAUGCAACGCGAAGAACCUUACCUACCCUUGACAUCCUGCGAAUGACAGUGAGAGCUGUUAGUGCCGGAGGGAGCGCAGAGACAGGUGCUGCAUGGCUGUAAACAGCUAUCUCAAUUGUGAGAUGUUGGGUUUCUCAAUCCAAAAACGAGCGCAACCCUUGUCCUUAGUUGCCAUCAUUCAGUUGGGGACUCUAAGGAGACCGCCGGUGAUGAACCGGAGGAAGGCGGGGACGAAAACUCUCAAUCAUCAUGGCCUUUAUGGGUAGGGCCACACAAAAGCUACAAUGGGGAAAACAGAGGGUAGCCAACCAGCGAUGGGGAGCCAAUCUCAGGAGGAAACUAAUCUCAAUCCGGAUUGGAGUCUGCAACUCGACUCCAUGUCUCAAUCGGAAUCGCUAGUAAUCGCGAAUCAGCAGUGUCGCGGUGAAUAAAAUCCCGGGCCUUGUACACACCGCCAAACAAAACAUGGUCUCAAUGGAUGGUACCAGAAGCGGGUAGUUGAACCGGAGGGGAGACGC